This 95-nucleotide transfer RNA is filed under the name Achromobacter sp. AONIH1. RNAcentral describes it as "tRNA-Sec". It matches the Rfam family "Selenocysteine transfer RNA". The record is from RNAcentral. Lineage: Bacteria; Pseudomonadati; Pseudomonadota; Betaproteobacteria; Burkholderiales; Alcaligenaceae.
GAAGGCAUCCGUGCCCGGCGGCACGGCCGGGCUUCAAACCCGGUUGGGGGCGUCAGACGUUCCCAGGUAGGUUCGACUCCUGCUGCCUUCCGCCA